Molecule: ribosomal RNA, 934 nt
Filed under: uncultured bacterium
Lineage: Bacteria
Description: bacterial SSU rRNA
Rfam family: Bacterial small subunit ribosomal RNA
Source: RNAcentral
AGUCGUACGGGAGUUUUUAACUCAAGUGGCGGACGGGUGAGUAACACGUAAGAAUUUACCUUUAGGAGGGGGAUAACAACUGGAAACGGUUGCUAAUACCCCAUAUGCUUUCGAGUGAAAUGGUUUUUCCGCCUAAAGAGAAGCUUGCGGCUGAUUAGCUUGUUGGUGAGGUAAGAGCUCACCAAGGCGACGAUCAGUAGCUGGUCUGAGAGGACGAUCAGCCACACUGGAACUGAGACACGGUCCAGACACCUACGGGUGGCAGCAGUCGAGAAUCAUUCACAAUGGGGGAAACCCUGAUGGUGCAACGCCGCGUGGAGGAUGAAGGCCCUAGGGUCGUAAACUCCUGUCAUCGGAGAGUAAGCCUUGGUCGUUAAUAGCUUCCAAGGUUGAUAGUAUCCGAAGAGGAAGGGACGGCUAACUUCGUGCCAGCAGCCGCGGUAAUACGAAGGUCCCAAGCGUUGUUCGGAAUCACUGGGCGUAAAGAGUAUGUAGGCGGUUUGGAAAGUCAGGUGUGAAAUCCCGAGGCUCAGCCUCGGAACUGCAUCCGAUACUCCCAAACUAGAGUAAUGGAGGGGUGACUGGAAUUCUCGGUGUAGCAGUGAAAUGCGUAGAUAUCGAGAGGAACACUCGUGGCGAAGGCGAGUCACUGGACAUUUACUGACGCUGAGAUACGAAGGCCAGGGUAGCGAAAGGGAUUAGAUACCCCUGUAGUCCUGGCAGUAAACGGUGCGCGCUUGGUGUGGGAGGAUUCGACCCCUUCCGUGCCGGAGCUAACGCGUUAAGCGCGCCGCCUGGGGAGUACGGCCGCAAGGCUAAAACUCAAAGAAAUUGACGGGGACCCGCACAAGCGGUGGAGUAUGUGGCUUAAUUCGAUGCAACGCGAAGAACCUUACCCAGACUUGACAUGCUCAUCAUACCUUCCCGAAAAGGA